AGGACGAACGCUGGCGGCGUGCUUAACACAUGCAAGUCGAGCGGAAAGGCCCUUCGGGGUACUCGAGCGGCGAACGGGUGAGUAACACGUGAGCAACCUGCCCUUAGCUUCGGGAUAGCUCCGGGAAACCGGAAUUAAUACCGAAUAUGACUGCGGCUGACAUCAGCCACGGUGGAAAGUUUUUCGGCUAGGGAUGGACUCACGGCCUAUCAGCUAGUUGGUGAGGUAACGGCCCACAAGGCGACGACGGGUA
RNAcentral lists this ribosomal RNA (253 nucleotides) under uncultured bacterium. Its description in RNAcentral is "partial small subunit ribosomal RNA". It matches the Rfam family "Bacterial small subunit ribosomal RNA", at positions 26 to 285 of the family's 1533-position model. The record is from RNAcentral.